Molecule: ribosomal RNA, 1478 nt
Filed under: Lactiplantibacillus plantarum
Lineage: Bacteria; Bacillati; Bacillota; Bacilli; Lactobacillales; Lactobacillaceae
Description: bacterial SSU rRNA
Rfam family: Bacterial small subunit ribosomal RNA
Source: RNAcentral
CGAACGCUGGCGGCGUGCCUAAUACAUGCAAGUCGAACGAACUCUGGUAUUGAUUGGUGCUUGCAUCAUGAUUUACAUUUGAGUGAGUGGCGAACUGGUGAGUAACACGUGGGAAACCUGCCCAGAAGCGGGGGAUAACACCUGGAAACAGAUGCUAAUACCGCAUAACAACUUGGACCGCAUGGUCCGAGUUUGAAAGAUGGCUUCGGCUAUCACUUUUGGAUGGUCCCGCGGCGUAUUAGCUAGAUGGUGGGGUAACGGCUCACCAUGGCAAUGAUACGUAGCCGACCUGAGAGGGUAAUCGGCCACAUUGGGACUGAGACACGGCCCAAACUCCUACGGGAGGCAGCAGUAGGGAAUCUUCCACAAUGGACGAAAGUCUGAUGGAGCAACGCCGCGUGAGUGAAGAAGGGUUUCGGCUCGUAAAACUCUGUUGUUAAAGAAGAACAUAUCUGAGAGUAACUGUUCAGGUAUUGACGGUAUUUAACCAGAAAGCCACGGCUAACUACGUGCCAGCAGCCGCGGUAAUACGUAGGUGGCAAGCGUUGUCCGGAUUUAUUGGGCGUAAAGCGAGCGCAGGCGGUUUUUUAAGUCUGAUGUGAAAGCCUUCGGCUCAACCGAAGAAGUGCAUCGGAAACUGGGAAACUUGAGUGCAGAAGAGGACAGUGGAACUCCAUGUGUAGCGGUGAAAUGCGUAGAUAUAUGGAAGAACACCAGUGGCGAAGGCGGCUGUCUGGUCUGUAACUGACGCUGAGGCUCGAAAGUAUGGGUAGCAAACAGGAUUAGAUACCCUGGUAGUCCAUACCGUAAACGAUGAAUGCUAAGUGUUGGAGGGUUUCCGCCCUUCAGUGCUGCAGCUAACGCAUUAAGCAUUCCGCCUGGGGAGUACGGCCGCAAGGCUGAAACUCAAAGGAAUUGACGGGGGCCCGCACAAGCGGUGGAGCAUGUGGUUUAAUUCGAAGCUACGCGAAGAACCUUACCAGGUCUUGACAUACUAUGCAAAUCUAAGAGAUUAGACGUUCCCUUCGGGGACAUGGAUACAGGUGGUGCAUGGUUGUCGUCAGCUCGUGUCGUGAGAUGUUGGGUUAAGUCCCGCAACGAGCGCAACCCUUAUUAUCAGUUGCCAGCAUUAAGUUGGGCACUCUGGUGAGACUGCCGGUGACAAACCGGAGGAAGGUGGGGAUGACGUCAAAUCAUCAUGCCCCUUAUGACCUGGGCUACACACGUGCUACAAUGGAUGGUACAACGAGUUGCGAACUCGCGAGAGUAAGCUAAUCUCUUAAAGCCAUUCUCAGUUCGGAUUGUAGGCUGCAACUCGCCUACAUGAAGUCGGAAUCGCUAGUAAUCGCGGAUCAGCAUGCCGCGGUGAAUACGUUCCCGGGCCUUGUACACACCGCCCGUCACACCAUGAGAGUUUGUAACACCCAAAGUCGGUGGGGUAACCUUUUAGGAACCAGCCGCCUAAGGUGGGACAGAUG